This 1052-nucleotide long non-coding RNA is filed under the name Cicer arietinum (chickpea). Its description in RNAcentral is "long non-coding RNA (CARI_LNC002729)". The record is from RNAcentral. Lineage: Eukaryota; Viridiplantae; Streptophyta; Magnoliopsida; Fabales; Fabaceae.
CAUUCUUGGCACAAUCAGAAAUAAAAUUUUCUGUACAUUUUUUUAUGGGUUACAAUGAACACCUCGUAAUCUUGGACUGAUUUUCCAAGCUCUUUCUCCUAAAAUAAUUUGAAACAAAAAAAAAAUUAAUAAUUGAAGUAACAAAAUAAAUAAUUAGAAAAAUAAAAUAAUUAUAUCAUUCGCCAUCUAGUUCCUUGAAAAUUAAUGGAACUUCCUAUGCGAUUGUUUUAGUCAAUGCUCUUUUUUUUUUGUUCCUCAUAUAUUUUUUAAAAUUUAUUUGAUUGUCAAUGCUCACACAACAUGUUUCGAAUAGACUCUCAAACCCAUUUGAGAUAUUUUAUGAUACGCAUAUCUCGUUGGAAAUCAAAGAGACCAGUAGCACAACUUUUAUAAAAAACAUCCAUCACAUGAAGCCCAUGCUCAACCUUCCACGUACACAAACUCUAUAGAAAACAAAUUCAUUAAAACAAUAUUUAAAAGACACUUAAAAGAAAAAUAAAAAGUUUAAAUAUUUCAUAUAUUAUUACUUACUUUAAAAGCAUAAAAAAUAGAUGUGAAUCAUUCUGAUCUUCGGUCUUUGUUAUUUCAUCCCACAUUUUAAAACGUUUUUUAUACUUUAUUUUAAUACAAUGGUGAUGAUAGUUGCAGAUUCUACCGAAUGAAUAAACAUGUAAAAGUAAAAGUAUUAUAAUAAAUUAAUUAAAUCAUUUAAAGAAUUAUGGGUAAAAAAUUAUGAGAAUAACUACAUGUAAUUAAUUAAAUAAUUACCCUUGACCAAUAGGUGUGAGGACAAUUCGACCAUGGUGAUCAACAUAAACCGUGUCAGAAUGAGUAAGAUUCAUCGUACCAACCUUUCUGUAUACAUGUGGAUGAUUUUCAAUUUCACUUCAAGUGCAUGGGAUGAUGUUUCAAUCAUUGGUGGAGGCACCAAAGUACAGUCGCUCAAAAAAGUAUGAUGAGUCCUACAACGCAUAACUCGUUUUCCCCUCAUUAUAUCAGCUCUACCACUGGUUGGCGACGGAUCAAAUGAUCAUUCUCCUGAUGCCAUGACU